CUCUCGGCAACGGAUAUCUCGGCUCUCGCAUCGAUGAAGAACGUAGCGAAAUGCGAUACCUGGUGUGAAUUGCAGAAUCCCGCGAACCAUCGAGUCUUUGAACGCAAGUUGCGCCCGAGGCCUUUUGGCCGAGGGCACGCCUGCCUGGGCGUCACGCAAAACA
This 163-nucleotide ribosomal RNA is filed under the name Festuca kingii. RNAcentral describes it as "Leucopoa kingii 5.8S ribosomal RNA". It matches the Rfam family "5.8S ribosomal RNA". Rfam says of the family: 5.8S ribosomal RNA (5.8S rRNA) is a component of the large subunit of the eukaryotic ribosome. It is transcribed by RNA polymerase I as part of the 45S precursor that also contains 18S and 28S rRNA. Functionally, it is thought that 5.8S rRNA may be involved in ribosome translocation. Lineage: Eukaryota; Viridiplantae; Streptophyta; Magnoliopsida; Poales; Poaceae. The record is from RNAcentral. RNAcentral also lists the same sequence under 2 other names.